Potamilus streckersoni is the source of this 73-nucleotide non-coding RNA. The record is from the annotation of a GenBank genome assembly. Lineage: Eukaryota; Metazoa; Mollusca; Bivalvia; Unionida; Unionidae.
GCUUCAGUAGUCUAGUGGUUAGAGCGUCCGCCUCAGCUGCGGAAGGUAGUGGGUUCGAUCCCCGGUCGAGUCA